This is a small nuclear RNA of Sorex araneus (European shrew), 107 nucleotides long. NCBI's taxonomy places the organism in Eukaryota, Metazoa, Chordata, Mammalia, Eulipotyphla, Soricidae. The record is from RefSeq and is a predicted model, not a curated record.
GUGCCCAUUUCAGCAGCACAUAAACUAAUGUUGGAACAAUACAGAGAAGUCUAGCAUGAACCCUGUGCAAGGGUAUCACACAAAUUCGCAAAGUAUACCAUAUGUUU